UUUUUCCUACGGGGGGCAGCAGUGGGGGAUAUUGCACAAUGGGGGAAACCCUGAUGCAGCGACGCCGCGUGGGUGAGGAAGUAUUUCGGUAUGUAAAGCCCUAUCAGCAGGGAAGAAGAUGACAGUACCUGACUAAGAAGCCCCGGCUAACUACGUGCCAGCAGCCGCGGUAAUACGUAGGGGGCAAGCGUUAUCCGGAUUUACUGGGUGUAAAGGGAGCGCAGGUGGCAAGGCAAGCCAGAAGUGAAAACCCGGGGCUUAACCCCGCGGAUUGCUUUUGGAACUGUCUGGCUGGAGUGCAGGAG
RNAcentral lists this ribosomal RNA (305 nucleotides) under uncultured bacterium. RNAcentral's name for it is "bacterial SSU rRNA". It matches the Rfam family "Bacterial small subunit ribosomal RNA", at positions 333 to 654 of the family's 1533-position model. The record is from RNAcentral.